CCCACAUCGGUUCUGCAGGGAGGGCUUGGGUGUUAUAUAUAUGGGUUUACAAACCUCUCCUUGUAAGCUAGCUUUUAAGGUAGAGUUAAGCAAGUUCAUAUCAGUUAGGCUUAAUUAUUUAUUUUUUGUUUGUUUUCAGAGUUAUAUUUAUUAAAGGAGAUGUAGCACAAGUAGGAUUAGUUUUAAAGGAGAUGUUGCACAAGUACAAUUAGUUUAAGUUUUCCUAGUAGGAUUAUGUCUUUGUUUGAGUGCCUAUAAAUAGGUCUCACUUUUGUAAUUUUUCAUUAUUAGUUAUUUUUCUAAAUAAGUGUUGCUCCUUUGUCUUACACUUGUGUGUAAGUGUGGCAAAUGCUUUCACUUAUCAAUCAUACUUGAUUGUGGCAUCUAAACUAGACUUAUCAUAUUUCAUAUGCUUUGGAGUGUGUGGCGUCUUCCUUGGAGUAGUUUUUUCUUUGUGGCGAUCUAAUCUUAUCAAAGGAGUUGCAGUAUCUACCUUGGAACUACCUACCUAUCUAUCUCUUUUCUAGCUUUCU
This 533-nucleotide unclassified non-coding RNA is filed under the name Hevea brasiliensis (rubber tree). The record is from RNAcentral. Lineage: Eukaryota; Viridiplantae; Streptophyta; Magnoliopsida; Malpighiales; Euphorbiaceae.